AUGGCCAAGCCUCAGGGCGGCGCCGUCAGCACCCCGCGCCCCCGCUCCUCCUCCGGCGCCAAGGCCGCCGCCGCCGCCACCACCCCGGCCAACCGCAGCUCCGUGGGCUCCUCCUCGUCCGCGCCCCCCGCCCCCCUCGCCAAGGAGGCAGGCAAGCUCCUCACCUACGACGACGACGACGCCGCCUCCGCCGCGCAGCAGCAGCCCGACCCCGCGCUGCCCGAGGGCCUCGCCGUCGCCGACCUCGCGCCGCCGCUCGACCUCCCCGACCCCGCGCUGCCCGAGGGCCUCGCCGUCGCCGACCUCGCGCCGCCGCUCGACCUCCCCGACCCCGACGACGCCGCCUCCUCCUCCUCCACCGUCGUCCCCGCCCCUCCCCGCGACGCGGUCCCCGCCCCCGACCGCUCCGCCCUCGCCCAGGUCGCACGUCCCGCCGACGCCAACGACACUGACGCCGACGCCGAGGGCUACACCGUCCUCAGGGAGCUGGAGGUGGUCCUGGCCGAGCUGCGCGGGGCCAGCGGUCUGAGCGCGCGCUCGAGGCGCCUCCUGGCCGCGCUCGCCGAGGCCGCGGCGGACGAGCUCGACGUUCUCCGCACCCGCCGCGCGGCCUUCUGGAGGAAGCUGCGCGUCGGGGUCCUCGCCGCGACGGUCUUCUCCGUGGCCGCCAUGGACGCCGUCCUCCUCGCCGCGCUGCUGGGCGGCCGCCGCGGCAGCGGCAGCCACGCGCUGCCCCCCACCUGA
Molecule: ribosomal RNA, 744 nt
Filed under: Triticum aestivum (bread wheat)
Lineage: Eukaryota; Viridiplantae; Streptophyta; Magnoliopsida; Poales; Poaceae
Description: partial small subunit ribosomal RNA
Source: RNAcentral